GGGGAAUUUUCCGCAAUGGGCGAAAGCCUGACGGAGCAAUACCGCGUGAGGGAGGAAGGCUCUUGGGUUGUAAACCUCUUUUCUGGGGGAAGAAGUUCUGACGGUACCCCAGGAAUCAGCAUCGGCUAACUCCGUGCCAGCAGCCGCGGUAAUACGGAGGAUGCAAGCGUUAUCCGGAAUUAUUGGGCGUAAAGCGUCCGCAGGUGGUACAUCAAGUCUGCUGUCAAAGACCGGAGCUCAACUCCGGGCAGGCAGUGGAAACUGGUGAACUAGAGUACGGUAGGGGUAGAGGGAAUUCCCAGUGUAGCGGUGAAAUGCGUAGAGAUUGGGAAGAACACCAGUGGCGAAGGCGCUCUACUGGGCCGUAACUGACACUCAGGGACGAAAG
RNAcentral lists this ribosomal RNA (388 nucleotides) under Xenococcus sp. PFB-A1. RNAcentral describes it as "bacterial SSU rRNA". It matches the Rfam family "Bacterial small subunit ribosomal RNA", at positions 356 to 759 of the family's 1533-position model. The record is from RNAcentral. Lineage: Bacteria; Bacillati; Cyanobacteriota; Cyanophyceae; Pleurocapsales; Xenococcaceae.